UAGAGUUUGAUCAUGGCUCAGAUUGAACGCUGGCGGCAUGCUUUACACAUGCAAGUCGAACGGCAGCACGGGGGUAACCCUGGUGGCGAGUGGCGAACGGGUGAGGAAUGCAUCGGAACGUAUCUUCAAGUGGGGGAUAACGCAUCGAAAGGUGUGCUAAUACCGCAUAAUCUCUGAGGAGAAAAGCAGGGGAUCGCAAGACCUUGCGCUUUUGGAGCGGCCGAUGCCUGAUUAGCUUGUUGGUGAGGUAAAAGCUCACCAAGGCUUCGAUCAGUAGCUGGUCUGAGAGGACGACCAGCCACACUGGGACUGAGACACUGCCCAGACUCCUACGGGAGGCUGCAGUCGAGAAUCUUUGGCAAUGGGCGAAAGCCUGACCAUGCGACGCCGCGUGUAGGAUGAAGGCCUUCGGGUCGUAAACUACUGUCAUGAGGAAAGAAGGGUCAUGUAACGAAUAGCUGCGUGAUCUUGACGGUACCUCAUAAGAAAGCCACGGCUAACUCCGUGCCAGCAGCCGCGGUAAUGCGGAGGUGGCGAGCGUUGCUCGGAUUUACUGGGUGUAAAGGGCAAGUAGGCGGUCCUGAAAGUCCUGUCUGAAAGGUGUCAGCUCAACUGGCACUCUGGGCGGGAUACUCCAGGACUAGAGGUCGGAAGAGGCAAGCGGAAUUCCCGGUGUAAGGGUGAAAUCUGUAGAUAUCGGGAGGAACACCAGUGGCGAAGGCGGCUUGCUGGUCCGAUUCUGACGCUGAGGUGCGAAAGCUAGGGGAGCGAACAGGGUUAGAUACCCUGGUAGUCCUAGCCGUAAACGAUGGGCACUAGGUGUUGGACUCCUUGUGGGUUCAGUGCCGAAGCUAACGCGAUAAGUGCCCCACCUGAGGAGUACGGCCGCAAGGUUGAAACUCAAAGGAAUUGACGGGGGCCAGCACAAGCGGUGGAACAUGUGGUUUAAUUCGAUGCUACGCGAAGAACCUUACCCAGGUUUGACAUACAAGAAGUAGUGAACUGAAAGGGGAACGACUCGUAACCAGUCGAGAGCUUGUACAGGUGCUGCAUGGCUGUCGUCAGCUCGUGCCGUGAGGUGUUGGCUUAAGUGCCACAACGAGCGCAACCAUUACUGUUAGUUGCCAGCGGGGCCCGCAAGGGCCGCCGGGCACUCUAGCGGGACUGCCAGCGAUGAGCUGGAGGAAGGUGGUGAUGACGUCAAGUCAGUACGGCCCUUAUGCCUGGGGCGACACACGUGUUACAAUGGUGGGGACAAUGCGCUGCUAGCCCGUGAGGGUACGCUAAUCGCUCAAACCCCGCCCCAGUUCGGAUUGAAGGCUGCAAUUCGCCUUCAUGAAGCCGGAAUCGCUAGUAACGGCGGAUCAGCACGCCGCCGUGAAUACGUUCCCUGGCCUUGUAGACACCGCCCGU
Molecule: ribosomal RNA, 1413 nt
Filed under: uncultured bacterium
Lineage: Bacteria
Description: partial 16S ribosomal RNA
Rfam family: Bacterial small subunit ribosomal RNA
Source: RNAcentral